RNAcentral lists this ribosomal RNA (435 nucleotides) under Triticum aestivum (bread wheat). RNAcentral describes it as "partial small subunit ribosomal RNA". The record is from RNAcentral. Lineage: Eukaryota; Viridiplantae; Streptophyta; Magnoliopsida; Poales; Poaceae.
AUGUCCCGCUUGAAAUUUGGUGUCAUUACCCUAAUCCCCAAAAUAGUUGGGGCGACAGAUAUCCGACACUUUGGGCCGAUCAGGGUGAUCAAUGUUCUUCAACGAAUCGUAUGUAAUGUGUGUGCGACGCAGUUUGCCCUCGUGGUGGAACGCCAGUUCGCUUUUCUGAAGGGGCGUCCUAUACAUGGCGGAAUUUUGGCUCUUCAUGAAAUUGUUCAUAUGGAGUGCCAGAAAGGCGUAUUCCUUAAUCUCAACUUCCAAAAGGCAUAUGAUCGCCUUGACUGGUCCUUCCUCCGCCUAGCCUCAGAGUGGAGGUGGUUCAAUGACCAUUGGUGUUGUUGGAACAUGCAGUUGAUCAUGAGCGGUAGCACAACACUUAACAUCAAAAGGGAGGUGGGCCUAUCCCUCCCCCUUCCUCUUCAACCUUGUAGUUGA